AUUUCAUCUGUGAUUAAAUCAUCUACAAUGUCUUCCUCAGCCCUGUCAUCAUAAAUUUAACCAUUGCAAUGCUGCUUAACAUCAACAUAAAUACAUCUUAGGUAUGCAUCCUCUCACUCAAAAGAAUUCUCAAAUAAUAUUUUUAUUAAGGAAAAUUUAAAUGAUGGUGGCAGCUUAGAAGUGACUAAAGUAGUUAGAAGAAUGAAGCUCAAGAAAUCAAAAUUGUCAAUAAUUCUUUGUCCAACAAUAAUAUUAAUCGAUAAUAAGCAACAGAUGUAAAACAAGGCAUAACAAGGUAUUAUAUGCUAACAAACAAUAAGAAUAAAACAAGUCAUGGCUAAUUUAAAGGUCUCUGAAGCACACCAUUUGUUUUUUAAUGCAUCAGGGUAAUUAUGGUAACUUUUGAAUAUGUCCACAAAUUCUUUGAUAUUUCCCUUUUCAGAGGUAAAGCCUAAUUCCCCUCCCCAUGAGGAUGUGACUCGCUUCUAACAGAAUAUGGCAGAAGUAAAGAUAUGUGACUUUGAGACUAUGUCAUGAAGGACAUUGUGGCUUCUGCCUAUCUUUCUUCUGGAUCACACCCCAGGGGAGAAAGCCAACCUCCAUGUUGUGAGGACACUCAAGCAGCCCUUCGUGGAGGUCCGCGUGGUGAGGAAUUGAGGCCUCCUGCUGAUGGCUCAUGCUAACUUGCUAGCCGUGGGAGUCAGCUACCUUGGAAGCAAUCCUUCAUCCCCAGUCAAGCACUCAGAUGACCGCAGCUCUGGCCAACAUCUUGACUGCAACCUGUGAACGACCCUGAGCAGAACUGUCCAGUUAAGCCACUCCUGGCUCACAGGAAUGGGGGAGAUAAUAAACAUUUAUCGUUUCAAGCUGUUAAGUUUGGGGGUAUGUUAUGCAGCAAGAGAUAACAAAUGUAGAAUAUUUCACUCAUUUCUACAUGAAGAUUUCUUUUCUUUUUUUUUUUUUUGAGACAGAGUCUCUCUCUGUCACCCAGGCUGGAGUGCAGUGGCGCGAUCUCAGCUCACUGCAACCUCCACCUCCCGGGUUCAUGCCAUUCUCCUGCCUCAGCCUCCCAAGUAGCUGGGACUACAGGUGCCCACCACCACGCCUAGCUAAUUUUUUUGCAUUUUUUUAGUAGAGACAGGGUUUCACCAUGUUAUCCAGGAUGGUCUCGAUCUCCUGACCUCAUGAUGCGCCCACCUCGGCCUCCCAAAGUGCUGGGAUUACACGUGUGAGCCACUGCGCCCGGCCCUACAUGAUGAUUUCUAUCACAUAAAUAUACAAUACUAUAUUUAUCAAGCACUAUAUGUUAAUAGAUUCAUUAUCAAUCCUAUCCCGUUAGAAUGUAAGCUGCAUGAAAGAAGAAAGUUUGUUUUGUUCAUUGCCAU
This 1385-nucleotide long non-coding RNA is filed under the name Homo sapiens (human). Its description in RNAcentral is "non-protein coding lnc-SCAF8-1:2". Lineage: Eukaryota; Metazoa; Chordata; Mammalia; Primates; Hominidae. The record is from RNAcentral.